Molecule: ribosomal RNA, 1106 nt
Filed under: uncultured organism
Description: bacterial SSU rRNA
Rfam family: Bacterial small subunit ribosomal RNA
Source: RNAcentral
AGACGGGUACGGGGCCUGAGAAGGUGACCCCCCACACGGGUACUGAGACACGGACCCGACUCCUACGGGAGGCAUCAGUAAGGGAUAUUGCGACAAUGGGCGACAGCCUGACGCAGCAACGCCACGUGCGUGAUGACCGCCUUCGGGUUGUAAACCGCUUUUCGGGAGGAAGAGGAAGGACGGUGCCCCCGGAAUAAGUCUCGGCUAACUACGUGCCAGCAGGCGUGGUAAAACGUAGGAGGCAAACGUUAUCCGGAUUUACUGGGUGUAAAGCGCGUACAGGCGGAUUCGUAAGUCGAGUAUGAAAGCGCUCAGGCUCAACCGGGCGAGGCCAUGCGAAACUGCGGAACUGGAGGCAGGUAGAGGCGUGUGGAAUUCCGGCUGUAGUGGUGAAAUGCGUAGAUAUCCGGAGGACACCAGUGACGAAGGCGACACGCUGGGCCAGACCUGACGCUAAGGCGCGAAAGCAUGGGGAGCGAACGGGAUUAGAAACCCCGGUAGUCCAUGCCGUAAACGAUGCGUACUAGGUGUUCCGGUGUCAAAACUGCAGUGCCGGAGCCUACGUGAUAAGUACGCCACAUGGGGACUACGGCCGCAAGGUUAAAACUCAAAGGAAUUGACGGGGGCCCGCACAAGCAGCGGAGCGCGUGGUGUAAUUCGAGGAUACACGAAGAACCUUACCUGGGCUGGACAUCGCGGUAGUAGGGAAGCGAAAGCGGACCGACGUUCGGGAGCAGUGGCAGGUGCUGCAUGGCUGUCGUCAGCUCGUGUCGUGAGAUGUUCGGUUAAGUCCGGUAACGAGCGCAACCAUCGUCGUUAGUUACAAGUGUCUAACGAGACUGCCCGUUGAACGCGGGAGGAAGGUGGGGAUGACGUCAAGUCAGCAUGGCCUUUAUGUCCAGGGCUACUACAACACGCUACAAUGGCCGGUACAAUGGGUCGCCAACCCGCGAGGGGGAGCCAAUCCACCAAAGCCGGUCUCAGUUCGGAUUGUAGGCUGCAACCCGCGUGCAUGAAGUCGGAGUUGAUAGUAACCGCAGGUCAGCCAUACUGCGGUGGAUACGUUCCCGGGCAUGUACACACCGCCCGUCACGUCAUGGGAGCUG